Molecule: RNA transcript, 6898 nt
Organism: Populus trichocarpa (black cottonwood)
Lineage: Eukaryota; Viridiplantae; Streptophyta; Magnoliopsida; Malpighiales; Salicaceae
Gene name: autophagy-related protein 2
Exons: 15
Source: RefSeq, a predicted model, not a curated record
AUAUCUUUUUGUAAUUUCCAAUCAUACCCGUCUCUCUCUCUCUCUCUCUCUCUCUCUCUAACAAAACCCAAUCCUUCUCUAUCUCUCUCCUUCUGUCUCUUGAUGGAAGAUAAUUCUAACAAUUCAUCUUCCAUCACGAACCAAUCCCCAUCCCUAACUUAACAAACCUUAAUUUACCGCCCAAAUUCACAAUUCACGAUGUUUUCGUGGAAUUUUGCGAAAUCGGCGGAGGCGGUACUGUCGCGGUGGGCGAUGAAAAGGCUGUGCAAGUUUGUAUUGAAGAAGAAAUUAGGGAAGUUUAUAUUAGGAGAUAUUGAUCUUGACCAGCUCGAUGUUCAACUCGCUGAAGGCACUAUUCAACUCAGUGAUCUUGCUCUCAAUGUCGAUUGUCUUAAUGAAAAGUUUGGGGCAGCGGCAUCCGUGAUGAUAAAAGAAGGGUCAAUUGGCUCAUUGUCGGUCAAAAUGCCAUGGAAGGGUAAAGGUUUUCAGGUUGAGGUGGAUGAGCUUGAGCUUGUACUUGCACCCUGUUUGAAGAAAAGGAAUUCACCAGCUGACGACGAGACUAGUAGUUCUAGUCAAGAGAGUAGACAUGGGCACAAGGAGGUGGGGAGGUUUGGGAAUGAUUUGAUGGAAAAUGCUCAAAAAUCUAGUUUUGUUGACGUUCAUGAAGGCGUCAAGACAAUCGCAAAGGUGGUGAAGUGGUUUUUGACUAGUUUCCAUGUAAAGGUUAAGAAGUUGAUUGUUGCAUAUGAGCCAUAUUUCGAGAAGGAUGAAAAGAAGGUUGGGUGUCAAGAAACUUUGGUCCUCAGAGUACCUGAAAUAGAAUGUGGAACCUGUGUUUCUGAAGAUGCUAACUUAAGUUCUGAUGAAAGAGUUGAGAACUUUCUAGGCAUUAGUCAGUUAAUGAAUUUUAUUAAGUUUCAAGGAGCAGUGCUUGAACUUCUCAAAACAGAUGGUGUUGACAAUCAAAGUUGCAGUCCAUGUGUGUCAGAUUCAAGUUUUAGUGAGCAAUUUUCAGGGCGCUGCCGAUCAAAACCUACAACUCCUAUUGUGACAGGGAAAAAAGGUGGAUUUUCAGGGAAUUUAAAGCUAAGUAUUCCUUGGAAGAAUGGUUCAUUAGACAUUCACAAAUUAGAUGCAGAGGUUUGUGUGGAUCCUGUAGAAUUAAGACUUCAACCAAGCACAAUCAAGUGGUUCCUACUUUCAUGGGAAACUUAUAAGAAUAUUGAUCAAGAUGGCAGGGGGGAUGCACAUUAUAAAUCAACCGAACCAGUCUACUUUAAUUCUUCUUCUCAUUUCCAUUCUUCGUUAUCUAUCCCUGGUGUGGUUGCUAAUGAUAAAGUGAGCCCUGUUCGUGGUAGCCUUACAUCUGCCCUUUCUUCUUUCACCGGGAAAGAAUCAGUUAGUGAAGCAAUGCUACCUGGAUCACAUCUUAUAUCUGACUGGGUGCCAAAUUCUAUUCAAAACGAGAAAGAUGGUAUCCAAGAAGAAUUAGACCUAGGAGCAAGUGUGGACCAAUUUUUCGAAUGUUUAGAUGGAAUGAGAAGUUCACAAUCAGCUCUGGGAAGCAGCGGGAUGUGGAACUGGACAUGUUCUGUUUUCAGUGCAUUAACUGCAGCAUCCAGCCUUGCUUCUGGAUCUUUUCAAAUCCCUUCUGAAGACCAGCAUGUUCAAACCACCCUUAAAGUGACUUUGGCUGGAGUUUCUGUCUUGCUAUCCUUUCAGGAUGAAGAUCAGGAAUAUCUGUAUGGUCAAAAGAGUGAUCAGAAUACUGUUGGACUGGAGAUUCGUUGUCUUAGUGCAGAAUGCAAAGAUAUUUUUGUUGUUUUGCAGGUUUGUCCUCAAGAAAUGAGGUUUGAAGGAACAGUGAAGUGUAUUGAGGUUAUUGAUUACUUGUACGAUAAAAAUGAUGCCAUGAAUAGUCACUCGACGGAGUUUAGCAACAGUCAAACUGUUUUGAUCCAGAAUCUGCAAUCUGAAGUCCAAGGUGUUCUCCCUCCAUUUCCUCAUUCAGAUGAAUUAAGUACAUUAAUUGCACCAGGAGUUCCAUUUGGAAAUGCGACCAAGAUGAAACUGCUUGGUACCUCAGGUGUCACUCGGUGCCAAUUUACUGUAUAUUCUGAUUCGUCAGAUGGAAAUUUUACUGGAACAAAGUCAUUUUCAUUGCAACUGCCGUUGUUAAUAUUCUGGGUGAACUUUGCUUCAGUAAACGUGAUACUGAAUCUUCUGAAGGAUGCUGAAAAGUCUGUUGAAAGGAGUAUCCAGAGGAAUGGAUUUCCAUCUGUCAAUAAGAAGCAUGAAUCAUCUCAUGGAAAUAUGAAAAAAGGUUCAAGUUCUAGGGUUUCAACAUUGACCUCUACAGAAAAUUUGCAAGGUAGUAUAUCAGUCCUUAAGGCGAGGGUAAUACUAUGUUUCCCAUUUGUAAGCGGUGGAGAUAUUGGAGGCCACUCUCCCUGGAAUCAAUUUAUUGCUGUUGAUAUUUCUUCACCGUCGAUCUUGGAAAGCCCAACAUCGAAUUCCAGUUCGUGGAAAAGGCAUGCACCAAGGACCAUAUGUUCUUUGCAUUUGAAUGUUAGUAAUCUCAAGGUUUACUUGGUCAAUCCAGCUUGUAAUGAUGAUGGAACUACCUUGUCUACUUUGAUGCCAAGGUAUAGAUUUUGUGCACAGAAGAUUGUGUCUGUGAGUAAUAGAGCUGGUUGCCUAUGUACAAUUAGUAUGCUUUGGCAGGAAGACCCCGUGACUGGUCCUUGGAUAGCUGAGAAAGCCAAGUCUCUGGCAACUUCAGAGGAAUCCAGGAGCAGGAAAAAAAUCAAGGUGAAAGGAUAUGAAUUUGCUAGUGCAACUGCUGCAAAGGAUCUAGGAGACAUAAAUUUGCAAACCAGAGAAGAGUUAAUUUUGAGCUCUGCAUUCUUCUUGCAUGUUCAUCUGCUUCCUGUUGUGGUGGAUCUUAGCAGUUCUCAGUAUAGAAAUUUGCAUUGCCUUCUAGAUCAGAUGAUUAAUGGAUUAUCAGGCAUGGCCUGCAAUGUAGACGGUGUUAGGGAAUUGUCUCCAGCCAGUCAAACAUCAAUUCUUGUGAAGUGUGAAUCAGUAGAUUUUUCAAUUAGACCAGAUAUAAAGGAUGACAUAAAAAGUUCAUUGCAGAGUGAACUUCCUGGAUCAUGGCAUUGUUUAAAACUGAAAAUUCAAAAAUUUGAUAUGCUGUCCGUCUCAAAUAUUGGAGGUAUCAGGGGUGCCAAUUUCUUUUGGCUAGCCCAUGGAGAAGGUAAAUUAUGGGGUUCCAUCACCGGAGUUCCAGAUCAAGAGUUUCUUCUGAUUUCUUGUAGCAACUCCACUAUGAAACGUGGAGAUGGAGGAGGUUCCAAUGCAUUGUCUUCUAGCUUGGCUGGUUCUGAAAUUAUACACAUAUGGGAUCCAAAGAGCUCACAUGAUUUUACAUCUGUUAGUGUCAGAUGUGCCACAGUUAUUGCUGUUGGUGGUCGCUUGGAUUGGCUGGAUGCAAUAUCCUCCUUCUUCAUUUUGCCCUCUCCUAAAGUGGAGAAGGCAAACAAUGAAAAUCUGGCAAAGGGGGAUUUGAAUGCCCCUUCUGAAACUUCUUUCAUUCUAAAGUUGGUUGAUAUUGGAAUAAGUUAUGAGCCUUACUUGAAGAAGUCAGUGGUUAGGGAUCUUCAUUCCGAGUCUGGCUCCUCAUAUUCCAUAGAAGAAACAGGUGAGCCGCACAUUGCUUGUCUAUUAGCUGCAUCUUUGUUUUCUCUUUCCAAUACAACAACGGAAGAUUCUAUUGAUAAUGAUUACAAAAUUAGAGUGCAAGAUGUAGGGCUUCUUCUUGGUGCAGCACAUGAGAAUAUUGGUGGCACUCAUAGUGUGGAAUAUCUUCAUAAGAUGGGUUAUGUGAGAGUUGCCCAUGAGGCCCUGGUUGAAGCAAUUUUGAGAACUGACUGUAAGAAUGGCCUUCUCUGGGAGGUAGAAUGCACAAAAUCCCAUAUUUAUGUGGAAACUUGCCAUGACACUACUCGCGGUCUCAUGUGCCUGGCUGCUCAAUUCCAACAGCUCUAUGCCCCUGACUUGGAGGAAUCAGUUGUGCACUUGCAGAAUAGGUGGAAUGGUGUUUGUCAGACCCAAGAGAGAAACGAGUUCAAUGAUGAAGGUCGGAUUUUCAAUCAUGAUUGUGCGCCUUCGACUUCCCAAGUUCAUGCCCCUACUGCAGAUACAAAGAGUAACCUUGGGGUGGUUGGUUUAAUGGAUGAGAUAUGUGAAGAUGCAUUUCACUUGCAUGGGAUUCAGGCAUGCCGGUUUGAUUCCAGUGGAUCAGAAAUUCGUGUUUCACUUGAUGAAAGUCUCCUCGGAGAAGCUUGCAGCCUAAGUGUUGAAACUCCUGACUUCUUCUCAAAUGAUCUCUCUUAUGAUUGGCCAGUGCCUUUAAUAGGCCUGGAAAGUAAUCAAACCACAUUUCUACAGAGUGGUUCUUUCCCAGAAUUUAUAGAAGGCUAUUGUGUGUCUGAUUUACGCCCGUUGUCAGAAUUAUCCAUGGGCAGGCAGUCACCACCUGAAAAACUUAAAUGCAUAUCCAAGAAUUUUGGCAAUGCAGAUCAUGGAAGAGGAAAUGGUGGAUGGUAUGGGGAUGCCCCUUUGAGCAUUGUUGAAAAUCACAUUUCUGGAGCAAGUAGUGAAGCUAGUGUGAAUCAGGUUUUGGAAGACCAGCUUCCAACUUUGCAUUCUGCAAGAUCUGAUGAUUUUGGGAAGGCCACAGGACGUGUACUUUUUAAGAACAUUGAUGUGAGCUGGAGAAUGUAUGCUGGUUCUGACUGGCAGGCAUAUAAAAAGAAUAGUGAUCCAUGUAGUCAUACUUGUGGAAGGGAUACAACUGUUUGUCUAGAGCUUGCAUUGUCUGGAAUGCAAUUUCAAUACAAUGUCUUCCCAGUUGGUGGAGUAUGUGCAUCUAAGCUUUGUCUCACAGUUCAAGAUUUUCAUCUUUCUGAUAAGAGUAAAACUGCACCGUGGAAACAGAUACUUGGAUAUUAUCAUUCAAAAGAUCAUCCUAGGGAAUCCACUUCAAAAGCAUUCAAGCUGGACUUGGAAGCUGUCAGACCAGAUCCUCUAAUCCCUCUUGAGGAAUACCGGUUACGCAUAACUCUCCUUCCUUUGCUAUUGCAUCUACAUCAAAGCCAACUCGAUUUUCUCAUUAGCUUUUUUGGGCCCAAAAGCUUUUCAGCAGGCCAGUCUUCGGAUCAAGAUCAAAAUUCAGAUGGUGUAAAGACUUCUGCAACAAAUAGCUGUAAUCUUGCAGGACAUACAAUUGCAAAUGAAGCAUUGCUUCCCUUUUUUCAGAAGUUUGAAAUAUGGCCCAUUAUUCUUCGAGUUGACUACAGUCCCCAUCGUGUUGAUCUAGCAGCAUUGAGCAGUGGGAAGUAUGUGGAACUUGUGAACCUUGUCCCCUGGAAGGGGGUUGAACUACAGCUAAAACAUGUUCAUGCCGUUGGUGUCUAUGGCUGGGGCAGUGUAUUUGAAACAAUUAUAGGGGAGUGGUUGGUGGAGAUCUCUCGAAAUCAGAUGCAUAAAAUCUUGCAAGGCCUUCCUACCAUCCGGUCCCUGGUUGCUGUUGGUUCUGGUGCUGCAAAGCUUGUUUCCUUGCCUGUUGAGAGCUACAGGAAGGAUCAUAAAAUAAUCAAGGGAAUGCAAAGAGGUACAAGUGCAUUUCUAAAAAGUAUAUCGCUUGAAGCUGUUGGAUUUGGGGUGCAUUUGGCAGCUGGGGCUCAUGAUAUUUUGCUCCAAGCAGAGUAUAUUCUUACAAAUAUACCUUCUCCUCCUGUGUCAUGGUCUGUACAAGCCAAAACUAAAGAAAAUGUAAGAUGCAAUCAGCCAAAAGAUGCCCAGCAAGGAAUUCAACAUGCAUAUGAGAGUCUCAGUGAUGGCCUGGGAAAGUCCGCUUCUGCUUUAGUGCAGACUCCAUUGAAAAAAUAUCAGCAUGGAGCCAGCACAGUAACUGCCCUGGCAACUGCUGUACGGGCUGUUCCUGCUGCUGCCAUAGCUCCUGUUUCUGCUUGUGCAGGUGCAAUGCAUUGUGCUCUUCUUGGCCUUAGAAAUAGCCUUGACCCUGAACACAAAAAAGAGUCCAUGGAGAAGUAUCUGGGUUCUUCAAAGCCAAAUGACUGGGAUUGAUUGAAAUGCCUGAAGAGACCAUUGCAUGACUACAGGAUAGAAGGAUUCUUGCUGCCCUCUUUACAAGAGAAGGUCACUGGAGAUCUUGUUUGUCAUCAUCAUAGCCAACAUGUAUAAAGUGAGUUGAGGACUCUACCACUUGGUCUUUUUUGAAGACUUUAUAACACUAAAUAAAAUGGAUCUUGCUUCAAUGGAAUGAGAAGCAACCCGUUUAUGUCGGUGGUCCAAGUAAACAUGGCAUAGAAUUUCUGGUUUUGGCAUUCUGCUGAUGAUUAUUUAGCUGUGAAGGUGUUGAUACCUGUGAAUUGUGCUGAGUGACUUUUUCUAUUUUUCAUUGCUCAAGUAUCUAUCAAGGGUCUCUAGCAGUGCAUAAAAUCAAAAGACAAGCAUUUAGGUUUUUAAACGUUCUCCUUGUUGCAAAGAAAAAAGAAAGACAGUCAUCCUGUGCGCAGUUGACAAGACCAUCAAACAGAUUCUUUUCCAUCUGGAUGGCUUGGUAACAUCGUACAUUUUGUAAGUAGUCACUGAUGCUUUUAAGAUUUUAGCCAUACAGAUUGAGAAUUGUAACUAUAGCCAUCCAUCCAAAUUGGUUAGCGGGUGAUAGAGAAAAUUACACAUAUUCUUUGAUCUCCAUGACCACAAGGUAUGUUGUUUCUAUUUCUUGUACAAAAUUCUAGUGUUUUUCUGGGGAAAAUACUGUACAUAAUCCAUUUAAUGCUUAAAGAAUUGCAAGGUUUGAUCA